AGAGCACCUGACUCUUAAUCAGGGUGUCCAGGGUUCGAACCCCUGAUCGCGUACCA
Molecule: transfer RNA, 56 nt
Rfam family: tRNA
About the family: Transfer RNA (tRNA) molecules are approximately 80 nucleotides in length. Their secondary structure includes four short double-helical elements and three loops (D, anti-codon, and T loops).